RNAcentral lists this long non-coding RNA (12795 nucleotides) under Aquilegia coerulea. RNAcentral describes it as "long non-coding RNA (ACOE_LNC001897)". Lineage: Eukaryota; Viridiplantae; Streptophyta; Magnoliopsida; Ranunculales; Ranunculaceae. The record is from RNAcentral.
AAAAAAAAAAUCCAAAUUCCUAUUGAAGUUUAUAUUAAAAAAAUUCCAAAACCCUAGCUCCAAUAAAUUGGGCCUAAAAGACAAGGUGUGUGGGAACCCGUCGCAGAGCCACACCUUCCCAAUGGUACAAUUGCUGCAGGGCAGUGAGCAAUGGUCUGCAACACAUACAUACAACCAAACAAAGAUAGGAAACAGUAUACACCGUAAACAACACAAGAAGUAUCCGGAAAACAGAAGAAAUAUUACAAAGGAAAAAUAGUUUUACAGUCUAGCCCAUUUGAUGUCGCUGUAUGGCCAGACAGAGUCGUUCUGUACAAGUCCUUCACUCCUUGUCACCUGGUUGGCUAGUUCCAGUAACUUAUAAGUUCUGCAAAUCGGUACUUCGUUAAGUCCACACAUGACACUAGCAAGUGCAGUCACAGCCUAUAGUAAGUCCUUAAGUAGACCACCACAAAAAUCAUGAAAUACGUACUUGUAAAAGCUCAAUAUCUUAUUAAUAGGAAUAGAAACCUCACAUAACAAGUGAAAUCUAGACCUACUUGGACAUCUUGAUGUAAGCUACAUGAGAUUGAUUAGCUACUUUAGUUAAAGUACCUAACUCAUAUGCGAUUAGACACUUUGACGACUCUUCCCUAUAGAAGAAACCCAAACACCCACAAUCUUGGUUGCAUUUUCCCCUGCACUCACUUACCUUCACAGGUCCUUCUCCUUCUGUGACCUCACUGGUGAAGUGCUCAACACCGACAACUUUGUAGUAAGAUGCCUUGAUGGGUGGUGACCCGUUCUUGCAAGGAGGUAGUGUUGGGGAAGCACAAGUCUCACUCCACGCUAAAAGGAUGCCCUUCGGGCUUGGGCAACCAACACAAUUGUUAUUCAAACAAACACCAUAUGACCCACAUCUUGAAGGUAACCUGCACUCACUGACACUUCGUGAGCCUUCUUCAUUUCUAUUGAAGAGUCUGUAUGUGACUUCCCAAGAACCUCUAAUUAUCCUAUCAUCGUAUGUGUGGAUUCUCAGAUUACCAUCUGAUUCCACUCGCAGGAAUGAUAGGAUAGAAUUGUAUCUCGGCCUCGCCAAUCUGGGAGAAAAAGGAGUUGUAGAGUUGUGUACAUAGAAAUCUAAGUUUAGAUUGUAGACAUAUGCAUCUUCUGGCUCAGGUACACUAUUGAACACCACACUAUCUAUGAUUUCAAAGCCACCUUGAUCUACAAGAACGUGAUAAAGAAUAGGUUUGGGGGAAUUCUUACUUUUUAGAUACAUAACCACUCUUUGUUUUUCCAAAACAACACUGUAAGGACCCUUAGAUCCAUCGACAUUAGACACUCGGCUAAUUAGCUCAGUGGUUCCACCAGAACGAAUCCCCUGACCAACCAAAAGAGUGUCGGUCGGGUAGUUAAAACUCUGCCACACAAAUCUGCCACGAUUGUCUUGAAGAACAAGAUUACCAUUUCGAAGAAGACUGAUUCCCACAACACCCUUAUUUGCUGUACCAGUCUGCCAUGCUACUCGACCAUUAGCCUCAGCAAGAACAAGAUUGCCAUUUCUACCGAAGGUUAGUGUGGCAUUUUCACCUACUGGGUUAUCCCGAUUAGCAGCCCAGACCCACCGCAUAAUGUUAGAUGAAGAGCCUUCCCGACGCAUACCCAUACGCAACGCGAGUGUGUAAGCACUAGGGGUGGUAUUAUAAAAACAAAGAGCAAAACCAUUUUCUUGAAAAAAGUACUCAUCAUUAUUGACUAGCCGGUAGUUUGAAUCGUACUCAUCGGGAUAAUCACCAUAACCGCCUUCAUUAACAAUUACAAAAGUUUUGUUGGCAGGAACAACAGCUUGAACUACAAUGGAGAAAAGUAAGAUUAUGAAGAAAGGUAGUGGAAUGGAAAUAGCUAGAGACAUUGUUGUGUAUGUAAUUCAGGUUCACUUCUUUGAAUGUUUGAAGAAACAGAAGUAUAUAUUUAUAACAGAGUUAAGGCAUCCAAGGUGAGUAAAGUAAUGGAUAUUCUAUAUUUAAAGUCAUCUUCUUGGGGGAUAGACAUAAUCAGCUGGCAGAUGGUGAUGGGAAUAAAAUUAUUGGACUCGAGCCCGCCUCAUUGGACUAAAAUAAUUAAUAGGUUGUGCAGACAUGGUUGGGUGAGCAUGUGGAUAUGCAGGUAUACAGUGAAACCUAGCUAAAUGUACCCCUGGUAAAGUCACACCCUACGUAAACCCACUGGAAAUAAUUCAUGCAUAUUUUCACUUUAUAAACGCACACAUUAUCCAAACAAAUGAAUUUUGUGAAUGAGCCUGUAGCUCAAUGGUAGCACCCCUCUCACAAAGUAGAGAGGUUGUGGGUUCGAAACACGUCAACAGCUGGGUUGUUGAUAUAAGUUUUCAUACGUAAUUUAAAGGGGUAAGGGUCCCUUAACCAUGCUAGCCAACAACAAAAAAAAAAACAACAAAAAUUUUAUAUGUUGUGAUUUUUUUAUGUAGGAUUUGUAGGAAGAAUAAUACAAUACCUUAACCCCAAAAAUUCUUUUUUCAGCCUAUUGCCCUUUUUGUUUGUGGCCACCACGAGCCAAUCAAAACAUAACAUGUGUCAGUUGAGUUACCAAUUUAAGCCCACUAGAUUUCACUGCACCCAUACUUGGGGAUAUUUUAGUAAAUAAAUAAAACUUUAUAACGCAUGGCGUGUUGUGCUUGGAGCCCUCAUGACCACAUACAAAAUUGGGGCCACAGUGUAAUUUUUCUGCCAAAAACUUUUAUAUGUUGUGAUUUUUUGGUGUGGGCUUGUGGAAAUUAUUUAAGUGUUGUCAGUGUAAAAUUGUGAUCAGAAGUUCAGAACUACUAAGUCACAUAUAGGGAUUGAAAAUUUGUUUAAAUGAAAACAGAUAUCAUAAUCAACUCGGUAAAAUGAUCAAAAAAUACAACGUACUUUCACAAUUUUUUCACUUUAUACAAUGUACUAAAAAUCACGCCAAAAUAUCAAUGUACUUUGAAAAAAAUUUCACGUUAUACAAUCUGUCUAAAACUAGCUAACGGACUGCUUACGUAGCUAAUAAUUAUCUACAUGUAUUUAUUUUUUUUAAAGAAAUAUUGAGUUGUAAAAUUAAAACCAACAUAUCUACUUUAAAACGUGUCAUCAAAUCAUGUCAACAAAUGUUUAGAUCUAAACCGUCCAUUAAUCCCAAGAUGUUAGAGAUAUAGAUGCAUUAUUUUUUUAGUUGUUAUCUCUAUGAUAGAAAAUAUCAAGUAUAGGAAACUAUGAAACCUUAAAUCAACAUCUCUUCCAUCUUUCUUUCUCAUAGCAACAUUGAACCCUAAAUCUUCUCUUUAAUUCUUUAAAUCCUAAUUUUAAUUAACCAUUUUCUCACAACUAAAACCCCUACUUUCAAUAAAAAAAACUAAUGUAUGGUGAAUUGGUGAAUUGAAUCGGUGUGGAACAAUAUAAUCUUGUUGUGUGUGUAAAAGAAAAAUCUUCUUUCAAGUAAGUACUAACUAGUAGUUAGUUUAACACUAAAAGAUGAAGACACAAAAGCUAGGGUUUGAAAUUGAAUUGAAGAUUUGAAUUGGGGAUUUACAGAUUUGGGGAUUUUUACAUUUGUUGAAUUCAAUUGUUAAAAUAGGGAAGAAGAAGGUCAAUCAUGUGAGAAACAUUAGCCUCAUUUGAUGGCUUGGAAAUGUUGUUUAAUUUUUUUUUUUUUUAAAUACACGUAGAUAAUUAUUGGCCACGUAAGCAGUCCGUUAGCUAAUUUUAGACAGAUUGUAUAACGUAUAAUUUUUUUCAAAGUACAUUGAUAUUUUGGCGUGAUUUUUAGUACAUUGUAUAAAGUAAAAAAAAUUGUUAAAGUACAUUGUAUUUUUUGAUCAUUUUACCUAAUCAACUCCCUGGAAAUUAUUGAGUCGAGUUGAUUUCAUAGAGUGGCAAACUGGCAGAAAAAUUACAAGCUAAAGCGCACAACAAAGACAAGCAUCAUGUUACUAUAGUGGGAUGAAUGAAGUCAGUGCUAAAUACUUAGCAGUAACAGAUUUGGCAUGUAUAAUCGACUAAAAGUAAUUAACUCUGCUUUGUACGAGUUCGAAAUACCAAGACAGACAUGAUGCAAGACCACUUCGUGAACCAAACACUGUACGAGUGACACUGUUUAAAUCAGAUUGAGAGCGCUCUUUCAGAUGCCUUGUUGUCCUCAGGUACGAGAAUUCUUUUUCUGUUGUAGUAGUAAAUGCUACACACUGGAUAACACAAACCAAGAUCAUUGAUAACCAUGGUAGAUUCAAAUGCAUCAGUCAGUGCCUCACAAGUACGAGAGCAGAUAAUUAAUUUAUCAUAGGCACACUGGCAUGCAUUCGAUGAAUGCAAUUCUUCUGUUACUCAUUGCUAUGAUUUUCACACAAAGAAUAACUAGGCAGGUAAAAAUCAGGGGUAAUUAUAACUUAUAAGCACUCUCCAAUCAGUAGCACUGCAUGUGGAGUGAAUAUAAAGCAUCUAUUAGGAGAAGCGUAUCGAAUGAAACCAACCACUAUGUAUUUUUUUUAUAGAAGCAUCACGAUACAUAGUCCAAGAAUCCGUUACAUAGCCCUUAAGUAUAUAGCUCAGAGUGAAACUCCACAAACAGUGUUAUUACCACAAUCAGAACUAAUCAAACAAGCAAAUCAAUGAACAUAAAGUAAAUAAACACGCGAUAUUUUUUUAACGUGGUAAAACCUAAUAUGGGAAACGUCCACGGUUGUCCUCUCGACAACAAAUAAAUCUACUAGAUGAAAAGAGAUGUACAAACCUAUCAACUACCUGCAAUCACUGCGAGUUGACACUACUGGUUAUCUCUAACACCUUGACUUCACCAGAGUACCUUGAUGUACGCACAAGACACUCGACUUCUUGAUGAACACACAAGAAGACUCGAAGCCGAUCUCAAUAAUCAAUAAUGAAGAAAAAAGAUGAAUGGAGAGGAAAGAAUGAUUUCAAUCACCAAAACACAACCCUAAACAAACUCAAGAAGAAGACUUCAAUUGGACGGCCAAAGAACUCCCUUGUUCUUUGGUUGAAAACCCUAUUUAUACUUAGGGUUUGGAAAAGAAAGAAAAUGGGCCGAAAACAAGAAAACCAUACGACGACGUACGUACGUCCUAACUAGGUACAUACGUACUGUACCAAACAACAUACUGACAGACUCGAUGAGGAAGGAUACACAGGACGACGCUCACACAUCAAAGUAUUUCCUAAUAAUAAGAUCAAGGCGAGAUAACCUCGGACACAUCAAGUCACAAAAUAAUGUCCAACAACCGAAUGUCGGUUUCAAUCUCACCCUUUGACAUUUAUUUUGGGACAAAAACCUAUGACUCUAAAAGCACUUAUAAUACGUGCUUCCAAACCCAAACCAACGGCAUUUAUAAUACAUGCCUACAAGAACACUCACACUCACACGUACCAAGUCACUAUCACUUGAUAUUCAACUCGAGCAAGAAGCUUUGAUUAUCAGAGACGAGACGGAAGCAAGAACAAUUCUGAACCAAUUAGAGAAAUAAUGGAAGCUUGUAGAACAACUCCCCCAUACUUCAUGAACUCCAAAUUUUAAUACUCGAGCUCCCCCAUAACUGUACAACCUCUAAUCAUCAACACAUUCACUCCCCCAUACGUGUAGCAUACCUGAAACAUGACCCAAAAUACACUAACAGAGAAGAGAAGAGUGUUAGUAUUAGAGUCAUACAUCUCCCCCUUUUUGGCACAAAGAGUGAACAAAGGAAACGAGUAAAAAGAGACAGUAACAAGAGAUAAUGCCGAUAAUAGAAUAUCAAACAGAGAAACAAGAUAGGAAAAUUUCCUUAACAAUCAAGGAUUCACGAAAACAAUGGCAAUCACAAAUAAUAGAGCAAAGAGAAUAAUAGUCUUAAAAGAACAUAAACCUUAACAAAAUCAAACAACGCGAAAAAACGCGUUCCCAAUGACCUAGAUGAAUCUUAAAGAAGUAAGCAUCAACACGAGCCGAGGGAUUUUCCCAUCGAUCUACAAUAUGGUCUUCAUAAUCUUCUAUCCAUUCACCUGUACAGAAUAGUUCUUCAAUUCUGCUAUCCAAACCGCAGUCGGUGAAAGGACCAAUGAAACCUGAAACUUUCGGAAAACCAACUAACUCCAAGAUGUGACAUUGGAGAUGCUUAGGCAAACGCUUCCAAUGAUUCACAUGAACCAUACAAGGAUUAAGAAAUGGACGAUGAAUAAAAUCAUAACCAUGAGGCACACGACAUAUACGACAAACCUUUGUAGGAUUCUUGUAUUCCAUCACCAUGAAAGAGACAUAACCAACAAGAGGAACAAAAACACCAUGAAACUCAAAUUCCUCCAUUGAAGACAUCUGUAAACGAAGAAGGAUACUAGAAGAGGAGUGAAAAAAAAUAGAAGAAGAAAAACACAAAGAAGCAAUAUAUAUAGGCAAGGAAAAACAAAAACGAUACUUGGGCCCGACAAAAGCCCAUAACCUAAUAAUCACCUCCUUAACACAAAUAGAAUAAAGCAUCAAAAGUACUUAAACAAACAUUAACCUAACAAGUUUUAAUCCUAAACAACCAAAAUAAAAAAUAGGAAACAAGGAAAUAAAGAAAAAAAAAAGAGCUACUCCUCUGAACCAGAACUAUCAUCACCAGAACCACCUUCGACACCAUCAUCACCAUCGUCCUCACUCUCUUCCCCAGACUCGUCACCACCCUCAUCACUAGCACUUAGUGGAUCCUCGGUCGGAAACGGAGGCAAUGUGAUAAGAGUGUAGUCAAUCUGGAGAUGCCUCAUCCAGGCAACAUUCAUCCCAUUAAUGUCUCGAAGAAUGGCAUCAUGCUGGGAGAUAAUGGUGCCAAUACGAUCAAUCCUUGCAUCAGUGUGACUUUGAUGACGUCGAAGAGAGGAGACACGAGCUUCAACUGCAGCCACAACCCGGUUACUACGAACUGAGGAAGUCAAAGGACGCCCAGAAACCAAAGCACGAUCAAAGUCAUCGCGCCUAUCAAGAGUUCUACCUCCCCAAACCAGAUGGUGGGUCAGUGAGGCACCUACAGCUUCAAAGGUCGCCCUCCUAGACGGACACCCCUUCUUGAUAGCAUUCGCCCAAUCAUGAACAACAAAACGGGGAAGGGACACCUCUGUAUACUUUCCACGAAAACCCAAAUGCAGAAGAAUACAGAUGAUGAAGCUAGGAAAAGGAAGUGUACCCUUAGCAGCAUCUAUUUGAAGCAUCCGAUGAAAAAUAAACAGACAUACACACGAUCAGCUUGAUCAUCUCAUCCGUAAUAAUAAUUUUGUUUCCCCUCGACGGUUAUGUCGUUGGGAAAUCCUUACCUCUUUAUUGGUGAGGCAGAGAUUUCAUGAUCGAUAACUUGUGUAAUGAAAAGAUGGGUCGAGAGAGUUCACACUCGUCCAUAAAAUGCCUUAUGGGGGCUAGGAGUGUGUGAUGCCACAGGUUGGUACCUAAUGAGCCAAGAUACCUUGGGUUGGUGCUCAUUAAGCCUCUUCUUCCCCUAAACAGUUAAAUGGAAGUGUUCACAACCGUCCAAUAAGUCUUAUUGAGGCUAGGAACGUGUGAUGCCACAGGUUGGUGCGCGGUAGCCCAAGAUACCUUGGGUUGGUGUUUGUCGGGCCACUUCUCAUAAAAGAUAAUUAAACCGCUAAAGAAAGAAUGGGCAUGUUUAUUUUUCAUACCAGUUGUGUGAUCUUAAGUUCAUGCCAGGUUAGAAUUGAUCGAGUAGGACAUUGGUAAUUGUCGUGGAUAUUCAGUUUAUGCUAAUGGUGUGUAUUAUAGUUCUAUCAUAUCUAUAUGAUGACUUUGUAUGGAUUUGUGGGUUUCUUAAUUUUUGUCUAACUAUGUAGUUAAGUCGAGUAAGUAUGGUUUCACUUGCUCGAGCUAUGGUUGACACUCGUUUUACUUUUCCUUUUCAGGAACUCGAUGACUAGUUACACGAGUAGGGAUUUCAUAGAUUGCAGUCCUAUACACCUCUGGUGCCUUUUGAAGUCUAGGAGUAUGUAAUCUUUAGUUGUACCUUUUGAUAUGUUAUAACGAGUAUGAGUUGCUUGAAGUUGUAUAGUUUUGAUCAUAACUUCAGUUUAGAAGCUUGUACAGUAUAUGUGUAAGUGAGUUUUGAUAAUAAAUCUAAAUUCUUUUGUAAGAGCAAUGUGUUCAACCAUAAUAUACUCUUGUUCUAGGUUUUGGGAUGUUACAAGUUUGGUAUCAGAGCAUAGGUUUGUAGGUUCCUAGUGAGUCUAGAAAUUUCAGAUUUUCGAUCUUAGUACUAGAUUCACGUAUCUGUGGCUAGUUUUCGAGUUUGAGUGAGGACGAAUAGUAUUACAUUACUAUUUGUUAUAUUUGUUUUGUGGUAAAAUGGUUGGGAUCCCCUAACAUUCAAAUUGUUUGAAUGUAUAUUUUAAUCUCACCAUGUCAUGUAUGACAAAUGGUAUGCGGAAGUAAUAUAAGUACAGGUGGUUGAACCGCAAGAGUAGCAGAUUUGGUGGGUGGACAGGAUGGAGAGCCUAUAACUACGGCUACCACCUCUACCACUCCACCCAAUGCCACAACUCAAGCAGUUCCGACGGUGUCGAUAGCUCCAAAUACUAAUGUAGCUGGCUGGAUCGGUGCCUGAUUUGGCAACUCUACUGGGACUAUUAAAGCAGACUAUUCAAGGUUUAUCUCAGGGAAAUCAGCAUGGUACGCAGCCUGGGACUGCAGGUCCAAUGUCCAUACCUGUGUUAGGUAUUCCCCAAGUGAGAGGGCAAACACUAGUACCACUGCAGGGAGUGGUGACUUCAGAAUCAGAGGUUUGGAGAUCACUUUUGGGGUAGUUUCUAAAAUUAAAACCUCCACGUUUUGAAGGUUCUAGUGAAUCACAAGUUGCGGCUAAUUGGAAAGUAGAUAUGGAGACGAUUUUGGGAGACAUGGAUUGCAUGACAGUACAAAAGCAAAGGCUUGCUACUCAUUGCCUAUCUGGAGACGCCAAGAAGUGGUGGUUGUCAGUUAGCACUCCCGAAAACCGACAUCUUAUGACUUGGGAUGAAUUUGGUGCCAAGUUUAAUGCACAAUAUUUCUCUGAAAGCAUUAAAUGAGCAAAAGCGCGCUAGAGAAUUACUGAGCUUGAAUCAAGGUACUAUGUCCGUGCCAAAAUAUGAAACAAAGUUCCGACAACUCUCUCAUUUUGCAUCCAAGCUGGUGGCUGAUAAGGAAGAAAAGAUUCGUAUGUUUGAAGAGGGUUUGAUUGAUCCUAUACGCCAUAUAGUGGUUGGGUUCCAUUAGUGAAUUUAUGAUGUUUUGGAGUGUGCUAGAAGACUAGAACAAGAUCAUCUAGCCCACAAGAAGCUGAAGGAUAACCGAAAUGCUAAUGAGAAGCGAGAUAAAGGAAAACAAGGAGAAUUUUCUCAACCACCCCAAAAGAAACAAAAGUCUGAACCUGCACCUUCUACUAAUGAAGUCGGUUAGAAACGACGAUUUACAGAAAAUUGUCAUCAUUGUGGAAACCCAGGUCAUAAAAGGCAAGAGUGCGGAAUUUAGUUGAAGGAAAUGGGUUUUUCUUAUCAGAAACAAUCAGGUAGUGAACAACAAGACCAAGGAUCGAGACCAGCAACUGAUGUGCAUAAACAAUAUGGACAGAAAUCUGGUCCGACACAACAAACUGUUGAUAGAAGGCAUGGGCAAAUGUAUGCCACCAUGAAGACAGAGUCUAUUUCAGAAUCCUCGUCAGAUGUGUUGCCUCAAGGACAAGUAUAUGUUGUUUUGCCCCGAGACAGGGAGGCUAAAGGAGCAUUACUAGAAGGUAAAAUCCUUGUGAAUUUGAAACAUGCCAUAAUACUCUUUGAUGCUGGGGCUCAACACUCUUUUCUAUCAUUUGCAUUCUUUGCAGCAACAUUUUAAAUAAAUAUGUUGCUGAGAAGGAGUAUUGGUCGAUCCACCCCCAUGUUUGGUUAGGACUGUGGGCAUAACUGUUUGUACAGCCCGUGACCUAGUUGAGAGAGUGACAAAGUCCACCUCCGUGUUUAGUUAGGCACGUGCCUAUCAAUUUAUCCGGUAUUCCAAUUUAUAUACAUUGUGGUAGCCUCCCUUUACAAGUUCGAGCUUUUAAAGAAACUGGUUUACAAUAAAUAUGUUAUAGAGAAUUUCUUGUCUCUUCUUCAUGUUGUCGUUGUUGUUGAGUUUCUUUCCUCUAUAUAUAAUCCUACUAUUAGUUCCUAUUGAAGUUUAUAUUAAAUAAAUCCGAAACACUAGCUCCAAUAUAUUGGGCCUAAAAGACAAGGUGUGGGAAACAUAAUUUAAGUUCUUUUGAUCCAUCUUUCAUGUCUUAUUAUUGUAACGCCCCAACUCCGUAUAUCCCAAACGGCCGCUCCGGAAUAUAAGGAAUUGUAGAGCCCAAGCUACUUAACCAACUAGCAAUGACUAACCUGUUCAAGUAACCUGUCUACAGCAAUAAAUACCAUUGCAGAACUCUAAACAACAGGGGACAAUUAGAUAAAAAAAAAAAAAAAAAAACCUGGUAUAUAUAUAUAUAUAUAUAUAUAUAUAUAUAUAUAUAUAUAUAAAUUAAACAUUACCUGUAAGUACAACCAGUUUGAUACAAACUAUAAGAACUGUAAAAAUAACUAUCUCAAAACUAUAUACAAUAACUAUCUCAAAACUAUAUACAGAAUACAGGGUACCAAGUGGAAUUCUAUCACUAAAACCAAUCAAACUAUGUACAUAUCAAAAACUUCUGAAAGUCUAGCCCACCUACGGCACUCGCGAAGCUACUGUAAAUCGAUCUCCUGAAAAAGAUGAAAACAACAAGGGUGAGCCACGGCUCGCAAGUAAAAUCUAAUUCACUCGUCUUACCACCCAGGAUAGAGAUACAUCAGUAAAACUAAACUCACAACACCGAUAAAUAUUAGAUAUUAAAAACAUACGGGGAAAUUAACGUAACAAGACAAAUAUUAUAACCUCAUUUAAUUUAAAGAGUAAUUCAACCUUCGCAAUUACGAGCAAAAUAAUCAACUACUAUAAAUGUGUGUAGAUAACAUCCAACACACGCCCGAAGACACAAGAUAAAAUAUAUGCGGAUAGCAUCCAACAUACGUCUGAAGGCACAGGAUAAAAUGUAUGCGGAUAACAUCCAACAUACGCCCGAAGGCACAGGAUAAAAUGUAUGCGGAUAACAUCCAACACACGCCCGAAGGCACAAGAUAAAAUGUAUGCGGAUAACAUCCAACACACGCCCGAAGGCACGAGUAAUAAGUGUAUGUGGAUAACAUCCAACAUACGCCCGAAGGCACAAAGUGUAAGUGUGUGCGGAUCACAUCCAACACACGGCCGAAGCCACCAAGUGCAAGUGUAUACAGUUAUAUCGACAAAACUCGAUUUCAAGAAUAUACGCACAACAACUAUAAAGACCAUACCAACUCUAUAACCAGAGUUCAAUCAAAACAACCCAAUGUAUAUAUAUUUCUUUAACAAAAGACAUGUUAUCAUCAGUUUCACCAAAAUGAUGUAAAGCAAACCCCUUGACCUAUAUUUCAAAAACAAAUCUGAAAUUGCCGACAUAUUACCAUCAAUGAUCAGUUGAUCACUUUAGAUGUUGAAAAAUGAUUUCUUGUCAACCACACAUCUUGUUUAACAGUUUAGAAAAUUAUCCAAACCCUUUAACAUCAUAAACAACUUGUACAAAAACUGUUCGUUGUCAUAAAGUAUUUAUAGAUUUGACAGAUUCGGCAAAACAAGAACUUACUUACGAAAAAUCGAAUUCAGAAAAUUAACUUUCAAAUAAGUUUCUAAGCAUUUUGAAUAUUAAUAACAAUAUGUGAUUAAAAAACCAGUUCGCAGAUGAGCUAUAAGAAAUAAAGCUACAGUUUCUUUCAAUUUAAGUUCCAUUUUCAUAAACAUGAAAAUCCACAAGCAUAUAAUCAACCCAAAUUAAGCAUUUCAACUUGUUACUUUCUCAAAAUUCAUGCAUUUCAUACCAUGGGGUCAGGGCAGCAAUGAGACAACCAGAAUUUUGGUUUAAAACAUACGAUAUCCCGAAGUAAUAUUGAAUAACAUCAAAUCCCAAAAGAGAAAAGAGUUUUAACAAAAAGAAUUCGAUUAUAACUAGCUAAUGCAAAUCUAACCAAAGAGUUAAGAAAAGAGAGUUAGAAUUCACUUGCCUCAACGUGAUUAUAGAACUCAAGAUCAACAAGCAAAUUGAAAACAUCUGAUUGGGCUCUAAAUCACUAGGCCUUUGGACCCUAAUCUCGGCCCAAAAAGAUUAACCCAUUUAAUCCAUCCAUACCUCAGAGUACAAUGCCCAACUAAUAUGCAUUGCUAUAUAGUUUUCUGAAAUAUAAACACCAUGAAAAUGCAAACAACAAUAUAUAAAACACAUGGCAGAAAAAUUAAAAUACAGGGCACUACACUUACCAACCCUCAUUGAGUCAUUGGACCUACAACCCGAGCCACGCCUUCCCUCUGGUGCAAUUGCUGCAGUGCGGUGAGCAACAGUCUGCGCCAACACAUACAUACAACCAAACAAAGAUAGCCAACAGUACCCACCAUAAACAACGCACGAAGUAUCAUGAAAACAGAGGAAAUAUUACAAAGGAACAAGAGUUUUACAGUCCAACCCAUUUGAUGUUGUUGUUAUUGUUUCUUUGUUCCCAUUGAUGUCAGCUGUAGGCCAAACAGAGUCGUUCUGUACAGGUCCUUGACUCCUUCUCACCCGGUUGGCUAGUUCCAGUCACUUAUAAGUUCUGCUAAUCGGUGCUACGUUAAGUCCACACAUGACGCUAGCAAGUGCAGUCAGCCAGUCACAGCUAUAGUAGGUCCUUAAGUACAACACCACCAAGCUUUUUU